GACGCAGGUGGCCUAUUAAGUCGGAUGUAAAAUCUCCCGGCUCAACUGGGAGGGACCGUCCGAUACUGGGAGGCUGGAGUGCAGCAGAGGGAGGUGGAAUUCCCGGUGUAGUGGUGAAAUACGUAGAUAUCGGGAGGAACACCAGUGGCGAAAGCGGCCUCCUGGGCUGUUACUAACACUGAGGUCCGAAAGCGUGGGGAGCAAACAGGAUCAGAUACCCUGGUAGUCCACGCCCUAAACAAUGGACACUAGGUAUGGGGAGUAUCGACCCUCUCCGUGCCGCAGCUAACGCUUUAAGUGUCCCGCCUGGGGACUACGGCCGCAAGGCUAA
Molecule: ribosomal RNA, 331 nt
Filed under: uncultured bacterium
Lineage: Bacteria
Description: bacterial SSU rRNA
Rfam family: Bacterial small subunit ribosomal RNA
Source: RNAcentral